AUAGCAGAAUUCAGUGAAUCAUCGAAUCUUUGAACGCAUCUUGCGCUCCUUGGUAUUCCGAGGAGCAUGCCUGUUUGAGUGUCAUU
Molecule: ribosomal RNA, 86 nt
Filed under: uncultured fungus
Lineage: Eukaryota; Fungi
Description: partial 5.8S ribosomal RNA
Rfam family: 5.8S ribosomal RNA
About the family: 5.8S ribosomal RNA (5.8S rRNA) is a component of the large subunit of the eukaryotic ribosome. It is transcribed by RNA polymerase I as part of the 45S precursor that also contains 18S and 28S rRNA. Functionally, it is thought that 5.8S rRNA may be involved in ribosome translocation.
Source: RNAcentral